This 1075-nucleotide ribosomal RNA is filed under the name Bacillus safensis. RNAcentral's name for it is "bacterial SSU rRNA". It matches the Rfam family "Bacterial small subunit ribosomal RNA", at positions 77 to 1138 of the family's 1533-position model. Lineage: Bacteria; Bacillati; Bacillota; Bacilli; Caryophanales; Bacillaceae. The record is from RNAcentral.
AGCUUGCUCCCGGAUGUUAGCGGCGGACGGGUGAGUAACACGUGGGUAACCUGCCUGUAAGACUGGGAUAACUCCGGGAAACCGGAGCUAAUACCGGAUAGUUCCUUGAACCGCAUGGUUCAAGGAUGAAAGACGGUUUCGGCUGUCACUUACAGAUGGACCCGCGGCGCAUUAGCUAGUUGGUGGGGUAAUGGCUCACCAAGGCGACGAUGCGUAGCCGACCUGAGAGGGUGAUCGGCCACACUGGGACUGAGACACGGCCCAGACUCCUACGGGAGGCAGCAGUAGGGAAUCUUCCGCAAUGGACGAAAGUCUGACGGAGCAACGCCGCGUGAGUGAUGAAGGUUUUCGGAUCGUAAAGCUCUGUUGUUAGGGAAGAACAAGUGCGAGAGUAACUGCUCGCACCUUGACGGUACCUAACCAGAAAGCCACGGCUAACUACGUGCCAGCAGCCGCGGUAAUACGUAGGUGGCAAGCGUUGUCCGGAAUUAUUGGGCGUAAAGGGCUCGCAGGCGGUUUCUUAAGUCUGAUGUGAAAGCCCCCGGCUCAACCGGGGAGGGUCAUUGGAAACUGGGAAACUUGAGUGCAGAAGAGGAGAGUGGAAUUCCACGUGUAGCGGUGAAAUGCGUAGAGAUGUGGAGGAACACCAGUGGCGAAGGCGACUCUCUGGUCUGUAACUGACGCUGAGGAGCGAAAGCGUGGGGAGCGAACAGGAUUAGAUACCCUGGUAGUCCACGCCGUAAACGAUGAGUGCUAAGUGUUAGGGGGUUUCCGCCCCUUAGUGCUGCAGCUAACGCAUUAAGCACUCCGCCUGGGGAGUACGGUCGCAAGACUGAAACUCAAAGGAAUUGACGGGGGCCCGCACAAGCGGUGGAGCAUGUGGUUUAAUUCGAAGCAACGCGAAGAACCUUACCAGGUCUUGACAUCCUCUGACAACCCUAGAGAUAGGGCUUUCCCUUCGGGGACAGAGUGACAGGUGGUGCAUGGUUGUCGUCAGCUCGUGUCCUGAGAUGUUGGGUUAAGUCCCGCAACGAGCGCAACCCUUGAUCUUAGUUGCCAGCAUUCAGUUGGGCAC